UACGGAGGGAGCUAGCGUUGCUCGGAAUCACUGGGCGUAAAGCGCACGUAGGCGGCUUUCUAAGUCAGGGGUGAAAUCCUGGAGCUCAACUCCAGAACUGCCUUUGAUACUGGAGAGCUUGAGUCCGGAAGAGGUGAGUGGAACUCCGAGUGUAGCGGUGAAAUGCGCAGAUAUCAGGAAGAAUAUCCGUGGCGAAGGCGGCUCUCUGGUACGGCACUGACGCUGAGACGCGAAAGCGUGGGGAGCAAACAGG
RNAcentral lists this ribosomal RNA (253 nucleotides) under uncultured bacterium. RNAcentral's name for it is "partial 16S ribosomal RNA". It matches the Rfam family "Bacterial small subunit ribosomal RNA", at positions 524 to 776 of the family's 1533-position model. The record is from RNAcentral.